UACGAGGGGUGCAAACGUUGCUCGGAAUCAUUGGGCGUAAAGCGCACGUAGGCGGCUUAGCAAGUCGGAUGUGAAAUCCCUCGGCUCAACCAAGGAAGUGCAUCCGAAACUGCUGAGCUUGAGUACGAAAGAGGAUCGCGGAAUUCCCGGUGUAGAGGUGAAAUUCGUAGAUAUCGGGAGGAACACCAGUGGCGAAGGCGGCGAUCUGGGUCGAUACUGACGCUGAGGUGCGAAAGCGUGGGGAGCAAACAGG
Molecule: ribosomal RNA, 253 nt
Filed under: uncultured bacterium
Lineage: Bacteria
Description: partial 16S ribosomal RNA
Rfam family: Bacterial small subunit ribosomal RNA
Source: RNAcentral